GGGCCUGUAGCGCAGUUGGUAGCGCGCCUCGUUCGCAUCGAGGAGGUCAGGGGUUCGAUUCCCCUCAGGUCCACC
This 75-nucleotide transfer RNA is filed under the name Microbacterium trichothecenolyticum. RNAcentral describes it as "tRNA-Ala". It matches the Rfam family "tRNA". From Rfam's summary of the family: Transfer RNA (tRNA) molecules are approximately 80 nucleotides in length. RNAcentral also lists the same sequence under 1 other name. The record is from RNAcentral. Lineage: Bacteria; Bacillati; Actinomycetota; Actinomycetes; Micrococcales; Microbacteriaceae.